Long non-coding RNA from Mangifera indica (mango), 406 nucleotides. RefSeq lists it as uncharacterized. NCBI's taxonomy places the organism in Eukaryota, Viridiplantae, Streptophyta, Magnoliopsida, Sapindales, Anacardiaceae. The transcript is spliced from 2 exons. The record is from RefSeq and is a predicted model, not a curated record.
GUAAAAUCCUCCUCUAUUAUUUGUCAUGAUUGAUAAAGUUGCUGCACUUCAGUUGAUUCCUAUUUUUAAUGUCUCGUCUAUUUGAAUUCAUAUUGUUGUUCAUGAUCAAAACCUUUUUCCUUUUGGUAGUCUUUGUAAUAUAUGCAAAAAGAAAGAUUGCUAACUGUUUUCAAAAGCAUUUUAUUUGAUGAAUAGUGUGAUAUCUUUGGAAGAUUCUCUUCUUGCAGACAAACAGAGUAUGCUGGAUUUGUCAGCUGUAUUUAUUGAAGGACUUUAAGAGUGUCUUGUAAUUGAUUCUGUAAAUCGGGUUUUCUCUGCCCUUCAAAUACAGAAUUUCCAUUCUUUGUAAAAGUUAUCUUUGUAUAGAAAUGGAUAAAUCUUCUUAUCAUAUACUGGUUUCUGAGAG